GCUUGUAUACUUGCGUAAUCCGAGUGACAUUCUCAGGAUAUCGGUCUUGCAAGGAAAGCAAUAUGUGUCUAGGUGCUACAUGUCUCUUUGCCAAAUCAGCGACAUGUUCCUUCUCAUCUGUGGUCAACCUACCAAUAAAUGAAUGACCUUCUAAUCUAUCAGGUAAACCAUGAUUAUGUAACCCACAUUUUACAUCAAUCUUCCAACCAGAUCCAUCUUUCGCCGGAGUCGACCUGAUUUUAAAUGGGCAUCCACAUUUCUUGGACGCACU
Molecule: long non-coding RNA, 271 nt
Filed under: Lathyrus oleraceus (garden pea)
Lineage: Eukaryota; Viridiplantae; Streptophyta; Magnoliopsida; Fabales; Fabaceae
Description: Pisum sativum (pea) long non-coding RNA (PSAT_LNC024944)
Source: RNAcentral